UUCCGGUUGAUCCCGCCGGACCUGACUGCUAUCGGAUUGAUACUAAGCCAUGCGAGUCAUUGUAGCAAUACAAGGCAUACGGCUCAGUAACGCGUAGUCAAUCUAACCUAUGGACGGGGAUAACCUCGGGAAACUGAGAAUAAUACCCGAUAGAACAUUAUGCCUGGAAUGGUUUAUGUUUCAAAUAAUUUAUUGCCGUAGGAUGGGAGUGCGGCCUAUCAGUUCGUUGGUGAGGUAAUGGCCCACCAAGACUAUUACAGGUACGGGCUCUGAGAGGAGUGGCCCGGAGAUGGGUACUGAGACACGGACCCAGGCCCUAUGGGGCGCAGCAGGCGAGAAAACUUUGCAAUGUGCGAAAGCACGACAAGGUUAAUCCGAGUGGUUUCUGCUAAAGGAACCUUUUGUUAGUCAUAGAACCACUAAUGAAUAAGGGGUGGGCAAGUUCUGGUGUCAGCCGCCGCGGUAAAACCAGCACCUCAAGUGGUCAGGAUGAUUAUUGGGCCUAAAGCAUCCGUAGCCUGCUUUGUUAGUUUUCGGUUAAAUCCAUACGCUUAACGUAUGGGCUGCCGGGAAUACUGCAAAGCUAGGGAGUGGGAGAGGUAGACGGUACUCGGUAGGAAGGGGUAAAAUCCUUUGAUCUAUUGAUGACCACCUGUGGCGAAGGCGGUCUACCAGAACACGUCCGACGGUGAGGGAUGAAAGCUGGGGGAGCAAACCGGAUUAGGUACCCGGGUAGUCCCAGCUGUAAACUAUGCAAACUCGGUGAUGCAUUGGCUUGAUGCCAAUGCAGUGCCGCACGGAAGCCGUUAAGUUUGCCGCCUGGGAAGUACGUACGCAAGUAUGAAACUUAAAGGAAUUGGCCGGGGGAGCACCAACAAGGGGUGAAGCCUGCGGUUCAAUUGGAUUCACGCCGGAAA
Molecule: ribosomal RNA, 917 nt
Filed under: uncultured archaeon
Lineage: Archaea
Description: bacterial SSU rRNA
Rfam family: Archaeal small subunit ribosomal RNA
Source: RNAcentral